This 458-nucleotide ribosomal RNA is filed under the name uncultured Rhodocyclaceae bacterium. RNAcentral describes it as "bacterial SSU rRNA". It matches the Rfam family "Bacterial small subunit ribosomal RNA", at positions 924 to 1382 of the family's 1533-position model. Lineage: Bacteria; Pseudomonadati; Pseudomonadota; Betaproteobacteria; Rhodocyclales; Rhodocyclaceae. The record is from RNAcentral.
CACAAGCGGUGGAUGAUGUGGAUUAAUUCGAUGCAACGCGAAAACCUUACCUACCCUUGACAUGUCCGGAAUCCCGAAGAGAUUUGGGAGUGCUCGCAAGAGAGCCGGAACACAGGUGCUGCAUGGCUGUCGUCAGCUCGUGUCGUGAGAUGUUGGGUUAAGUCCCGCAACGAGCGCAACCCUUGUCAUUAGUUGCCAUCAUUUGGUUGGGCACUCUAAUGAGACUGCCGGUGACAAACCGGAGGAAGGUGGGGAUGACGUCAAGUCCUCAUGGCCCUUAUGGGUAGGGCUUCACACGUCAUACAAUGGUCGGUACAGAGGGUUGCCAACCCGCGAGGGGGAGCUAAUCCCACAAAGCCGAUCGUAGUCCGGAUCGCAGUCUGCAACUCGACUGCGUGAAGUCGGAAUCGCUAGUAAUCGCGGAUCAGCAUGUCGCGGUGAAUACGUUCCCGGGUCUU